UAUAUGAUAGUGUUAAGAGUCCAUCCCUGGGC
This 32-nucleotide non-coding RNA is filed under the name Mus musculus (house mouse). The record is from RNAcentral. Lineage: Eukaryota; Metazoa; Chordata; Mammalia; Rodentia; Muridae.